This 418-nucleotide ribosomal RNA is filed under the name uncultured bacterium. Its description in RNAcentral is "bacterial SSU rRNA". It matches the Rfam family "Bacterial small subunit ribosomal RNA", at positions 361 to 776 of the family's 1533-position model. The record is from RNAcentral.
AUAUUGGUCAAUGGACGCGAGUCUGAACCAGCCAAGUAGCGUGAAGGAUGACUGCCCUAUGGGUUGUAAACUUCUUAUAUAUGGGAAUAAAGUGGUCCACGUGUGGACUUUUGUAUGUACCAUAUGAAUAAGGAUCGGCUAACUCUGUGCCAGCAGCCGCGGUAAUACGGAGGAUCCGAGCGUUAUCCGGAUUUAUUGGGUUUAAAUGGAGCGUAGGCGGAUUGUUAAGUCAGUUGUGAAAGUUUGCGGCUCAACCGUAAAAUUGCAGUUGAUACUGGCAGUCUUGAGUGCAGUAGAGGUGGGCGGAAUUCGUGGUGUAGCGGUGAAAUGCUUAGAUAUCACGAAGAACUCCGAUUGCGAAGGCAGCUCACUGGAGUGUAACUGACGCUGAUGCUCGAAAGUGUGGGUAUCAAACAGG